UCAUAUCUAAGAGUUCUUAGGUAGAAAUCAUACGGGUAGAGAUUAGGUGAAAAAGACUGUAACUUGUGUAGUUUACUGAGAGUCUUUGAACUGAUUCUAUUUAGUGGAUUUCCUUCCUGGCUUUGUAGCCCCCAGACGUAGAUGAGUUAACAAUUUCUUAUGUGUCUUGAAUUACUAUUCUUUAUCUUUAUCAUGUUUUCAUUAUUCAGAUAUUAGUGUCGUGAAAUUACCUUUG
RNAcentral lists this long non-coding RNA (235 nucleotides) under Lathyrus oleraceus (garden pea). RNAcentral's name for it is "Pisum sativum (pea) long non-coding RNA (PSAT_LNC006384)". The record is from RNAcentral. Lineage: Eukaryota; Viridiplantae; Streptophyta; Magnoliopsida; Fabales; Fabaceae.